CGCGGAGUAGCUCAGCGGCUAGAGCAGUGGGAUGCCACCCCACGAUCAGGAGUUCGAAUCUCCUCUCCGCGU
Molecule: transfer RNA, 72 nt
Filed under: bacterium
Lineage: Bacteria
Description: tRNA-Gly
Rfam family: tRNA
About the family: Transfer RNA (tRNA) molecules are approximately 80 nucleotides in length. Their secondary structure includes four short double-helical elements and three loops (D, anti-codon, and T loops).
Source: RNAcentral